This 494-nucleotide ribosomal RNA is filed under the name uncultured bacterium. RNAcentral describes it as "partial 16S ribosomal RNA". It matches the Rfam family "Bacterial small subunit ribosomal RNA", at positions 28 to 507 of the family's 1533-position model. The record is from RNAcentral.
GACGAACGCUGGCGGCGUGCUUAACACAUGCAAGUCGAACGGUGACGCGCCUUCCUUUUUGGUGUGUGUGGAUGAGUGGCGAACGGGUGAGUAACACGAGCGUAACCUGCCCUCUUCUUCUGGAUAACCGCAUGAAAGUGUGGCUAAUACCGGAUAUUCUGGGUCUGUCGCAUGAUGGGUCUGGGAAAGAUAUUGUUUCGGAGGGGGAUGGGCUCGCGGCCUAUCAGGUUGUUGGUGGGGUGCUGGCCUACCAAGGCGGUGAGGGGUAGCCGGCCGGAGAGGGUGAGCGGCCACACAAGUACGGAGACGCGGCGACUACUCCGACAGGAGGCAGCAGUGAGGAUUAGAGAACGGUGGGCGCAAGGCUGAUGCAGCGACGCCGCGUGAGGGAUGGAGGCCGGCUGGUUGUGAACCUCUUUCGCGAGAGAAGCGGGCCUGCCUCGUUUGUCGGUGGGUUGACGGUAGCUGGAGAAGAAGCGCCGGCUAACUACGUG